This 254-nucleotide ribosomal RNA is filed under the name uncultured bacterium. RNAcentral's name for it is "partial 16S ribosomal RNA". It matches the Rfam family "Bacterial small subunit ribosomal RNA", at positions 524 to 776 of the family's 1533-position model. The record is from RNAcentral.
UACAGAGGUCUCAAGCGUUGUUCGGAUUCAUUGGGCGUAAAGGGUGCGUAGGCGGCGCGGUAAGUCGGGUGUGAAAUCUUGGAGCUUAACUCCGAAACUGCAUUCGAUACUGCCGUGCUUGAGGACUGGAGAGGAGACUGGAAUUUACGGUGUAGCGGUGAAAUGCGUAGAUAUCGUAAGGAAGACCAGUGGCGAAGGCGACAUCCUGGACCGGUAUUGACGCUGAGUGAGCGAAAGCCAGGGGAGCAAACGGG